AUGAUUACGUGGAAGUGGGAUGACAUUACAAAGAGAAAUAGGUCUACUCUGCAUUUCCCACUUCCACGUAAUCAUAGUAAUAUUACCCAGUAUAGGCCUAUUUCUCUUUGUAGUGUCAUAUAUAAGAUUUGUUCCAAAGUUUUGGCUAAUCAUCUCCGCGAGAUUUUAGAUGAAAUAUUUGCAGAAGAGCAAAGUGCCUUCGUGCCGGGGAGGCUCAUAACUGAUAAUUUUUUGACGGCUUACAAAUGCAUCGAUGCCAUGAAAAGAAAGAAGGGGAAGCAAGGUUGGUGUGCAAUCAAGAUUGAUAUGAUGAAAGAAUACGACCGCGUUGAGUGGGAGUAUUUGCAGGCAAUGAUGCGCUGCCUGGGCUUCUCUGAAGAUUGGUUAUCUCUUGUGAUGAAGUGUGUCAGCUCAGUUAGCUACCAAGUGAAGGUUAAUGGUGAAUUGUUGCCCUCUUUUCGUCCUUCAAGAGGGACCAGAUGA
This 483-nucleotide ribosomal RNA is filed under the name Triticum aestivum (bread wheat). RNAcentral's name for it is "partial small subunit ribosomal RNA". The record is from RNAcentral. Lineage: Eukaryota; Viridiplantae; Streptophyta; Magnoliopsida; Poales; Poaceae.